RNAcentral lists this ribosomal RNA (468 nucleotides) under uncultured bacterium. RNAcentral's name for it is "partial 16S ribosomal RNA". It matches the Rfam family "Bacterial small subunit ribosomal RNA", at positions 28 to 507 of the family's 1533-position model. The record is from RNAcentral.
GACGAACGCUGGCGGCGUGCUUAACACAUGCAAGUCGAACGGAAAGGCCCUGCUUUUGUGGGGUGCUCGAGUGGCGAACGGGUGAGUAACACGUGAGUAACCUGCCCUUGACUUUGGGAUAACUUCAGGAAACUGGGGCUAAUACCGGAUAGGAGCUCCUGCUGCAUGGUGGGGGUUGGAAAGUUUCGGCGGUUGGGGAUGGACUCGCGGCUUAUCAGCUUGUUGGUGGGGUAGUGGCUUACCCAGGCUUUGGCGGGUAGCCGGCCUGGGUGGGUGACCGGCAACAUUGGGACUGAGAUACGGCCCAGACUCCUACGGGAGGCAGCAGUGGGGAAUAUUGCACAAUGGGCGGAAGCCUGAUGCAGCAACGCCGCGUGCGGGAUGACGGCCUUCGGGUUGUAAACCGCUUUCGCCUGUGACGAAGCGUGAGUGACGGUAAUGGGUAAAGAAGCACCGGCUAACUACGUG